AAAUAUGUUAGUUAACAUGUUAAUUCUGAAAUGUUCUUACUAGCUUUCUUUUCCCUUGCAGAUAUGUCACAUAUGGAGUCUUAAUCACCAAGCAUGAGUAGAUGAGCUCAUUAAUAUGAUAAAGGUUAAAAAUGGAGGAGGAGAAAACAAAAACAAACAAACAAACAUGCCAGCAUCUUGUAGCAAAAGAUGUUGUCACCAGCUGAUCCUGUGUGCCCUUUCAUUUAUU
This 229-nucleotide long non-coding RNA is filed under the name Anser brachyrhynchus (Pink-footed goose). RNAcentral describes it as "lncRNA (ENSABRG00000005493.1)". The record is from RNAcentral. Lineage: Eukaryota; Metazoa; Chordata; Aves; Anseriformes; Anatidae.